UGAGCAGAUGAGCAUUCACAUUUGAAAACAUGAUGUCAGAGCAAAAGUUAUCAAAGGCCUGAGAUAUACAGUGAAAUGGUAAUGGCGCUGAGCUGCUUUCAUCCCAGAAAAAAUGAUCUACUCAAGAGACAAGUGGGAUGCGAGAAGGCACAGCACUUAGUCUGAAUCUACUUAGGGUUCUUGAAACAUCUAAUUCAUAGGAGUCAAUGGACACUGCCAUGAGACUCCAAUUUGCAAGGCUCAGGACAUCUGCUACUGCUGGGGAAAGGAAUAACAUUGGUAUUGGCCUGGGUCUAAGAAGAAG
This is a long non-coding RNA of Mauremys mutica (yellowpond turtle), 304 nucleotides long. RefSeq lists it as uncharacterized. The transcript is spliced from 3 exons. The record is from RefSeq and is a predicted model, not a curated record. Lineage: Eukaryota; Metazoa; Chordata; Testudines; Geoemydidae.